ACAUGAAGUAAUCAAGCAUGUUUUUUAUUGUUGGGUGAAAAGUACUGUAUCGAUUGAGUAGUUUUCACUCAACAGUUUAGUUUACUUCAAUAAGUUGCUGUUGGGUGAAAAUAAUUUUGUGUGUUGCAUGGCAGAAACUAUCGGUACAACAAGCUUUUGAAAGGCUUCAACAACUUUGGAUUGAUGCUCGAUUGUAAAUGGAGAGAUGUGGAAAACAAGUAUGUGAGAGGAACAUUGCGGAUACUGAAAAAAUUAACUAACCGUGGAAUUAAACGUACAGCAGAUGAUGAUAAAUUAUCAGUCGAAGAGAUUCUGGCUACACCUUUGACUAAAUGAAUACAGGUAAUGAUUUCUGAUUCUAUUUUCAAUUUUUAACAAGCAUAUUGUGAUGCAUUUUUUUUUCUUCUCUUAGAUAGUUCCUGGCAAAACAGACUACGAGGUCGUCAAACAAUAUAGUGAAUUAGCAUGCAUGCCGCACAUUGUAUGUGUGGCACCGGUAUUUAAGGAAGGACCUAUGUUUAUUGUAUUUGAUAAAAAUAUUUUGCCUUGCGGUCAUCGAUAUAUAGAG
Molecule: long non-coding RNA, 568 nt
Organism: Malaya genurostris
Lineage: Eukaryota; Metazoa; Arthropoda; Insecta; Diptera; Culicidae
Exons: 3
Source: RefSeq, a predicted model, not a curated record